UUGUACUUUGGGACAAGGGCAAGAAGAACCAGGUUCAACCCAGAGGAAAUAACUACAGGAUCUACAUCACUAUGUUCUCUUCAUCCAGAAGAUUAUCAACAUUUGGAAGUCAAAGAGAUGAAAACGUUGGAAGAUAUAAAUUCUGGGAGCAAGCAGAUGCAGAUUGAUUUAUCGGAAGCAUGUUUACUGCAUCUGAAUAGGAAGAGUAGUGACUUUGAGUGUCUUCUAUUGAAACCAACUAUAAGUAUAUGACUGUGAUCUUACUUUUCGUCUGCCUGCAGUGGUAUGCUUUGAGAUGAAUUGUGCUUGUCUCACCCUGUGACUGAGCAAGAAUCUUUAAAUAACUUCCACUUUUCAGCAUUAUAUGAAGCUGAUUUUCAGCAACAGAACAACAUUAGCUUUAUUAACAUAAGUGUUACAGAAAAUCUGACCAGGAAUGAAGCUUGAUUGUUGCACAUUGAGUUUCAUGGAUACAGUCAAAAAAUUAUUGUACUGUAAAUUAAAUAUAC
Molecule: long non-coding RNA, 509 nt
Organism: Hypanus sabinus (Atlantic stingray)
Lineage: Eukaryota; Metazoa; Chordata; Chondrichthyes; Myliobatiformes; Dasyatidae
Exons: 3
Source: RefSeq, a predicted model, not a curated record